RNAcentral lists this small RNA (448 nucleotides) under Pongo abelii (Sumatran orangutan). Its description in RNAcentral is "processed transcript". Lineage: Eukaryota; Metazoa; Chordata; Mammalia; Primates; Hominidae. The record is from RNAcentral.
GAAUCACCAAAAGCAGGGAAGAGUGGGAAAAGUUCAAAAGAAGGACAAGACACAGUAGAAUCAGAGCAAAUUUCCGUCAGGAAAAACAGCCUUGUUGCUGUCCCGUCUACAGUAUCUACUAAAAUAAAAGUACCAGUCUCUCAGCCCAUAGUGAAGAAAGACAAACGGCAAAAUUCUUCAAGGUUUAGCGCAAGCAAUAAUAGAGAACUUCAAAAACUACCAUCCUUAAAAGGCACAGUGCCCACUUGUUCCGUGGCACAGCCCCAGAGCUCCUGUUGAAGAAACAGACUCCAGGACUGACUUUCCACUUGAUUUUAGGAGCUCGCACAUCCCGAGAGAUUCAUGUUCAAGCUGCAUUUUAGACAUAGCUGGCAAGAGUAUUUUCGUGCUAAACGUAAACUUACUAUUGAUAAAGAUUCUUAAUGAGUAAUUCUUAGGAUUUAGUACA